Molecule: transfer RNA, 87 nt
Filed under: Polyangiaceae bacterium
Lineage: Bacteria; Pseudomonadati; Myxococcota; Polyangiales; Polyangiaceae
Description: tRNA-Ser
Rfam family: tRNA
About the family: Transfer RNA (tRNA) molecules are approximately 80 nucleotides in length. Their secondary structure includes four short double-helical elements and three loops (D, anti-codon, and T loops).
Source: RNAcentral
GGAGAGGUGUCCGAGUGGCCGAAGGUGCCUGAUUCGAAAUCAGGUGUGGGGGCAACCCUACCGUGGGUUCGAAUCCCACUCUCUCCG